GUUUUGUUAGUUUGGAUAGUUCAAAUAAUUUUUAGGGUGUUUCAUGUUAAUUCAGUUUGGUACCAACAACGUAUAUAUUUGAGUUUGGUCUGAGUCAUGGGGUGAGCCAGGAGCGUUUGUGUGGCAUUAGGAUGUUCUCCCUGUGUUUGUGUGGGUUAUCUCCAGCUUCCUCCCACAGAGUGAGAAGCAUUGUCUAUCUCAGUGCCUUGGCUGUUAACUGAGACAGGUUGAUCUGAUUUAAUAUGGACAAGCUGAAUAAAGGAAAAACGUCUUUGACUAGUCCAGUUAGAAAUGGGGCUAAGAGACAUGUAGAUGUUUUGGAUGAGUAAAUUAUUAAAUUAAUCUAGUGCAUAUUCAUCAGCUCUAGAUUUCUACAUUCACUGGUUAAAUCUCUUAUUUAGAUUGUUUUCCCCCAUAGAUCAUAUGAAUAUGUACAUAGAUUUAUGUGCUGGAGUGUAACACCUAGACUAAAAGUAAUACUGCUAGAGGGGUAAAAUAUGGGAUUUUAUCAUGACUUUCACAUACAUGAUAGCAUAAUUUUAGAUAUGGAGAUAUUUUAAGAGUGACCUGGUAAACCUUGACAAAUUUGAUUAAUUUCAUGUGAAAUUACCUCAUUAUAAAUUCAAGUGUAAUAAAAAAUAUGGUCAGACGGCACAGGCCUAUAAGAAUUUUGUUUUCUUUAAUGAUUAGUUUCAAACGUAAUCCAAGAUAAGAUCAAGGGAUGAUUGAAACAGUGAGUGGAAUUUACAUGAUGAGUAAAACCAAGCAGUGAAUCACACGCAGUCAAUGUAAAAUUUUGUUAUUGGCUUUCUUUGACUUAAAGCUAAGAUUCCAAGGAAUGUAAGCCACGGUACCAAAGUAUGCUAGCUAGUAGCUGUAGUGAGUUAUGACUGACAAAUGCUAAGGUAAUCCCUAGCUAAACACUUUGUAUACACAUUUGUGUUAUGCUACAAAAAUUCCAUAUUACUGGACAAACCAACCCCAUUAUCUGUUAUUCAUACGUCCUGGGGGGUAAGCCAAUCGGUUUGCCAUUUGGUAGCUGUCCGUAGGACCCCUUCUAAGGGUUUUUAUUGGUCAGACAAAUAGUCAAGAUUUAUGGCCACUGUGAGGCCACGUUUUAGGAAUUCUAGGCAGAAAUUAUGGCCACACAUACACCUACCUCGCUAUGGUGGCCAUACAGUGACAGAUCUGGACAAUGCGUACAUAGAGGGGCGUUAUUAAAAUGAAAUGGGUGGCUAAUCAGUUCAGGUUUUCCACACAACUGCUCCAGUUAUCUACAGUGCGAAGCCCACAUUGUUUGCAGGACACCAUCUAGACAACCAGUGGUGAAGUCAUGACAGGCAACAUGUCAUCACUAGUCAUAUUGGGGAGGGGUCCAGACAAAACUACAAAAUCUGAGAUAUUUUUUGCAAACAUACACACUAACUCAAUAUCAUUUUAGUGACUGUGGGCGACUGCCUAAAACUGCGAGAACUUUGCUGACCCUCUGAAGGACAACUGCAGUAGCAACUACACUAGGUAGAUUGGAGCUGGGAUUCCAAUUCACUUAUAGUGCGGUGCAGUACACUUCGUACAUGGUGGUGGUACUGUAAUUAGAUAAAUAAUAACUGUAGGUGAAAACAAAGCAGUAAAUAGUAGCAUUAAAGGGGACUGCUCAUACAAAAUCCACUUUUUAGACAUUCUGGAGCAUUCCUAUGACUCUAUGGAUCACGUUUAAAGUUUUUCAACUUUAUCCAAUGGAGACAGACCUCCUCCCGUUCUGUCCCUGUUGUGAUGUCACAGAAAGGGACAAAUGCUGAAUCACCACCCCCACGAUGAAACCGUACCAAAACUGGACUUCCGACAUUUUCCCUGUCGCACUCACCGUGAACAGAUAUACAUGGCAGCGCCCAAGGCUGGCGCUGCCAUGGCAGGGAGCGGUGGAUCGAGCUUUAGUCCUGUUGAAAUGUGCUGCCACUCCUAUUUGUAUGUUGCGUUAGCCGUUAGCAUGCUGUUAGCCCUUUGCACUUUAGAGCUACAGCUGGGCGAUCGCUACAAUAAGAAAUUGCAGAUGAACGCGGUUAUGUCUGUUAUUACCCCAUCCCAUGUCACAGCCUAAAUCAACUUGAGGGUUGUUGCGGGGUUGGUCAUUGUUCUAUCAAAUUAUAACAUGUAUGGUAACUGUGUUGUGGUCCAAGCUUAGCUGCUAAUUAGUCACGUCUCCUCAAUAAUUACAGCCUAUCUGGUCAGUUACCUAUAGUUUGUGUACCAUAGCCAUUAUACUUGUAGGACCAAUACAAUAAUACAAUUUACAGUAAAUGUAACAUUGGCUUUAUUCUAUACUGUAGGAGGGCUCAUCCCAGUUACCCACAUGCAAGAAGGUUGUCCAAAGGAGAAAUCACUGCAGACUGUUGGUACACAGACAUGUGCUGCCCAGCUCAGGAGUGAAGUAUCUUUUUGAUGAGGUGAUGGUGAGGAAAGGGACAGCUUCCAUCUGGUUGAGGACUGGUUCCGCUCAAAAAUCUUCCAAAUAGUGAUUAGAACAAGGAUCACCACAUCGCCCUGGUCAUCUGAUUACAACUAUACAGUACCUGUCCUGCUGCAGAAACAAAUCUCCAACAGAACCAAGUUUAUCACCUACCCAGGACAUGGUCUGUUUACCGUACUUCUAUCCAGCAAGCACUUCCAUAGCAAGGCCCUUCAAAAGCUUCUAUCCUCAAAACCCCAGACUUCUUAACUCACUCAGCAACCUAUAUUUGUGUAAAGAUCACAGUUUGUUCCAGCUUUGGAGUAGUGGUGCUUUUUCUGGUUGACAAUAAAGUUGACUGUAACUAUUA
Betta splendens (Siamese fighting fish) is the source of this 2816-nucleotide long non-coding RNA. RefSeq lists it as uncharacterized. NCBI's taxonomy places the organism in Eukaryota, Metazoa, Chordata, Actinopteri, Anabantiformes, Osphronemidae. The record is from RefSeq and is a predicted model, not a curated record. The transcript has 2 exons.